This 1105-nucleotide ribosomal RNA is filed under the name Trapelia glebulosa. RNAcentral's name for it is "eukaryotic LSU rRNA". It matches the Rfam family "Eukaryotic large subunit ribosomal RNA", at positions 614 to 1198 of the family's 3401-position model. Lineage: Eukaryota; Fungi; Ascomycota; Lecanoromycetes; Trapeliales; Trapeliaceae. The record is from RNAcentral.
UCGGCUAGGAUGCUGGCGUAAUGGUUGUCAGCGACCCGUCUUGAAACACGGACCAAGGAGUUGACCAACAACGCGAGUCUUUGGGUGUCAAACCCACGGGCGCAAUAAAAGUGAACGGAGGUGGGAACCCCGGGGCAUCCGGGGCGCACCAUCGACCGAUCCUGAUGUCUUCGGAUGGAUUUGAGUACGAGCGUUGGUGGUCUGACCCGAAAGAUGGUGAACUAUGCGUGAAUAGGGUGAAGCCAGAGGAAACUCUGGUGGAGGCUCGCAGCGGUUCUGACGUGCAAAUCGAUCGUCAAAUUUGCGUAUAGGGGCGAAAGACCAAUCGAACUAUCUAGUAGCUGGUUCCAGCCGAAGUUUCCCUCAGGAUAGCAGUAACGUUUUCAGUUUUAUGAGGUAAAGCGAAUGCCUCAGUAACGGCGAGUGAAGCGGCAACAGCUCAAAUUUGAAAUCUGGCCUCGCGGUCCGAGUUGUAAUUUGCAGAGGACGUCUCGGGCGCGACGCCGGUCGAAGUUCCUUGGAACAGGACGUCACAGAGGGUGAGAAUCCCGUACGUGACCGGCGAUCAACCCCACGCGAGACCCCUUCGACGAGUCGAGUUGUUUGGGAAUGCAGCUCUAAAUGGGUGGUAAAUUUCAUCUAAAGCUAAAUACCGGCCAGAGACCGAUAGCGCACAAGUAGAGUGAUCGAAAGAUGAAAAGCACUUUGGAAAGAGAGUGAAACAGUACGUGAAAUUGUUGAAAGGGAAGCGCUGGCAACCAGACUUGCUCGCGGGGGAUCCGCCGUCCUGCGGGGCGGCGUACCGAUCCGCGAGCAGGCCAGCAUCGGUUCCGGCGGCCGGAUAACAGGGGCGGGAACGUAGCUUCCCCCGGGGAGUGUUAUAGCCCGUCCCACCAUGCGGCCAGCCGGGACCGAGGACCGCGCUUGAUUAGAGGCCUUGGGGAUGCAACAUCCUUAACCUAUUCUCAAACUUUAAAUAUGUAAGAAGUCCUUGUUGCUUCGGKGAACGUGGACAUUUGAAUGCACCGUUACUAGUGGGCCAUUUUGGUAAGCAGAACUGGGCGAUGCGGGAUGAACCGAACGUGAGGUUAGGKGCGGAAUGUAC